CGAGUAGCUGACGAUUUUCAGAGGGGCAAAGGGGAUGUGAGGCAUCACCGCAAACACCCAACAACCCGACGGUGUCCAGUACUGGGCUCGUCCCAUCGUCAUACCAUGAAUCCAACAUCUUCCAUUGUUAUGCCCUCUCGAAGUAUUCAUCGUGUACAUUGUUGGCGGCACGCACGCGGUAUCGACAUCACCUCGUGACCGCCUCAAAUCAGUCACCUUCUCACCAAAACUACAACUCCACUCUCUCCUCAUUUAUAUUUACCCGCUAAUGAUAAUAAUAAUAAUAAUAAGAGGGACAAUAUGAGAGCUACUAAAGAAGUGAAUUUUUUUUUUUUCGUUUAUGGUUUCUGGGGGAACGAGUUUAUUGGCUGUUUAGUGCACCAUGGAUUUUAAAACUUUUAAUCGCACUGUGAAAAAAUAGUAUGUGAUGAAUAUAUUUGGUGAUAUGUUUUUACUCGGUUAAAUACGACAAACGUGAAAUUAAUGAUAAUAUCAAGACUGAAUAACAAUUAUCACAAGAUUAUCAACCAUUAUCACCUGCCCACUGCUUACUCACUCAAUUGAAAGAAUAAUUCAUGCGGAAAAGCCGGUCAUUGGGAGUUUUCUCACAAUCGUGAUCGCAAAGUGUUUGAGCGAUUGUUAAAGAGUCGCCGG
Fopius arisanus is the source of this 654-nucleotide long non-coding RNA. RefSeq lists it as uncharacterized. Lineage: Eukaryota; Metazoa; Arthropoda; Insecta; Hymenoptera; Braconidae. The record is from RefSeq and is a predicted model, not a curated record. The transcript is spliced from 3 exons.